This 253-nucleotide ribosomal RNA is filed under the name uncultured bacterium. RNAcentral's name for it is "partial 16S ribosomal RNA". It matches the Rfam family "Bacterial small subunit ribosomal RNA", at positions 524 to 776 of the family's 1533-position model. The record is from RNAcentral.
UACGUAGGGUCCGAGCGUUGUCCGGAAUUACUGGGCGUAAAGAGCUCGUAGGUGGUUUGUCGCGUUGUUCGUGAAAACUCACAGCUUAACUGUGGGCGUGCGGGCGAUACGGGCAGACUUGAGUACUGCAGGGGAGACUGGAAUUCCUGGUGUAGCGGUGGAAUGCGCAGAUAUCAGGAGGAACACCGGUGGCGAAGGCGGGUCUCUGGGCAGUAACUGACGCUGAGGAGCGAAAGCGUGGGGAGCGAACCGG